AUUGAACGCUGGCGGCAUGCUUUACACAUGCAAGUCGAACGGUAACAGGCCGCCAGGUGCUGACGAGUGGCGCACGGGUGAGUAAUGCAUCGGAACGUGCCCAGUCGUGGGGGAUAACUACUCGAAAGAGUAGCUAAUACCGCAUACGAUCUAUGGAUGAAAGCGGGGGACCGUAAGGCCUCGCGCGAUUUGAGCGGCCGAUGUCAGAUUAGGUAGUUGGUGGGGUAAAGGCUCACCAAGCCAACGAUCUGUAGCUGGUCUGAGAGGACGACCAGCCACACUGGGACUGAGACACGGCCCAGACUCCUACGGGAGGCAGCAGUGGGGAAUUUUGGACAAUGGGCGAAAGCCUGAUCCAGCAAUGCCGCGUGCAGGAAGAAGGCCUUCGGGUUGUAAACUGCUUUUGUACGGAACGAAACGGCGCUGGUUAAUACCCGGGGCUAAUGACGGUACCGAAAGAAUAAGCACCGGCUAACUACGUG
RNAcentral lists this ribosomal RNA (482 nucleotides) under uncultured bacterium. RNAcentral describes it as "partial 16S ribosomal RNA". It matches the Rfam family "Bacterial small subunit ribosomal RNA", at positions 30 to 507 of the family's 1533-position model. The record is from RNAcentral.